AUGCUCGUUCCCGGGUUCCUGGGCACCUCUUCCCCGACGCCGGGCGCGCGAGGGCUGGAGAAGCACUUGCCCUUGCCCUUGCGGGGACAGGGACUAAUGCGGCCACCACCCCAGCGAAUAAGCGGUCACAGCCGUGGAGCUGGGGCGGAAGGGCCCGCUGCCCUCGCCCGGGAGCCUGGCCUUGUGGGUGCCUGGACUUCGCGGCCCUGCGUCCCCCUGCCGUCCCCACACUGCAAAGACCACAAGCUCCUGAGGGGAGGAACGGAACCAGCCAUUCGAAUUUUCUCAGGUUCCUCCUCCCCCGCUGCCGCCGGGGCCUAUGAAAUGCAUCUCGAGACUCCUGCAGAAAUCAAGCAAGCUGCCCACGUUGUCAUUCCUGUCCGCUCAGGGGAGAGAGAUGGCUAGUCCCGUGGAGCCCAGGGAGCGAGCAUAUGGAGACGGGGAUUCAGUAAAAACAUCUGGUGUGCUGGGAUCUGACGCUGGGAUAGAGCACCUUGCUCUCCGGUGGAGGGUUAUGUGAUUUCUGGAGAUUAAUAAUUCUGGAGGGAAAAUAAUAAUAAUAAAAAAGGUGGCUUCUUCAAGAGGCACUCGCAGGAGGAGCAAGAUGCGUGGUGUGUCUCCGUAUAAACGCGUUGUGACGAGACAAGGUGUUUGCAGGAAGAAAGAGCAGCGAGUGGGUUCCUAACUCCGAGCCCCGUUUAUCCUCGUGCUGCGAAGCAGAAGCAUUUGUCAGGUUGGGUGAAGCCCCGGUGCCCGACCGCGAGCAACGGUGCUGUGAAGUAUUGACUGAGUCUCGGUUCCUAAUGCAAAAUGCAAAAUGGGAAUUGAAACGUACUUGAUGGAAUUAAAACAUUAGUAUUGGCUUUCAGCUCUUGCCUCUCUGGCUCCCGUAAUAAAUGCAGGGCAUCUUAAAAAUAAAAGCCAACAAACCCAGAGAACACAGCCAGACGCCUUUGCAAGACAGAGGAGGCACCAAACCUCUCUGCGAGAUUUGAGAAUUGAUUUUCUCCAGUGUGAACUCCGGCAACUGUUUCAUCUCUAAGUUUGACAUACACUUUUCAUUUAUUUUAAGUAGAAUGCUUUUAUUUUUACUACGGGUAUAUGAAGACCCUGUGACAUGUUGAUAGAUGGAAUAAUCCUGCUUGCCACGUUAAACCCUAUGUAGGGGACGUCGGAACGGGAAUGCUCCGAAACACCUACCGUGAAUACGCUGACCCUCGCAUCAUUAAGCACGUGUGUGCGCUGGGCCUCUCCACGUGGGGAGAAGCGUAGGGUUCGGUGUCUGGUCCCUUCCGAAGGAGGGUCAUGGGGCAUUUCAUCCGAGACAGCGUCCUUUUGUCCACGGGCUGGGUGUGGUCCUUUGGCACAUUGUCCUUUACCGACUAGGCUUGGUGUUCAUCAAGAUGGCAGGAACCAACAUGCCUGGUUCUCCGCGCCUGGAGGAGGUUCAGGCCUACGCUUAACCCCAAAUCUUGAGAGUCUAAGUCCACGGUGACGAGGAAGCCCUUCGAGCCCCGGGGAAUCCAGGCCCAAUGCUUUAGUUCUCGUUUCUCGAGGCUUUGAGGAAAUCUGGGUUUGGGUUUCCAGCCUGACGCUCCCCAAGGGGUGGCGUGCUUGGGCCGAGGAAGCAAAAUGCCCCAAAGGGCCCCAUCUGGGCUCCACACAUAUCCCUUCUGAGGCUCGUGACAUUUCCAGCAAUCUCAGCUGAAAGCCCAGAAAGCCCUGGUAGUCUUUUCUAACCACCGGCUUCUUUCUCGCUGCCCUCCUGAAGCCUGGCUGUAGACUUCUGUCUGGUUCGGGGCCGCUCUUGCACCGACUCGACUCCUGUCCAAUCCCAGCGGGUCCUCGGCCCCGGGGAGGUGAGAGGGAAGACGGGGGAGGUCUGGGAAACAGGGAGGACCUUCAUCUGGCCCUAGCCCGGGCCACCCAGCCCGUCGUCAUUGGUGGAGGCCUCCAGGGAAGCCCGCUACUCACCCAGUGCCCACAUCGCACGGAUCCCGGGCUGGCGCGGGGAUGGCUUAUCCUGACCUAACCCCAAGGUUUCGGGGUCCCUUUCGGGUCCCAAGCAGGCCGCCCCUCCCGGGAGCUGAAGAGCUAAGCUGCUAGACUUGUUUUUAAUCAGUACGAUUUGCUUGGGCCUCCAGGUCUCGUUCCAGGCUGUGGACUCCCAGGCUGCUGGGACCGCGUCUGGCGCCCCGGCCGCCUGCCUCUCCAGAGUUUAUUUCGAGGACACUGCAGGCCGAAGCCCUUGACUUCUGGUCUGAAGAGCUCGGGGUCAUUCCCGGCGAUUUCCCGGAGGGCUGUGGCGGGGCGGGCUCCCGGGUUGGCACCCGUGGCGGGCGCAUCCUGCUUUGGGUUGAGAGCGGGCCGCUUGGCCUGCGGAGCACAGAGUAUUGUCCUGGGGUCUGAAACUUUCCCGAGACUUGGGCCUGUCUGGGCGAGGCGAAUCUAUGGCUCUCCAGACACGUUUUGAGUGAAUUGGUUUCAGCUUUCACAAAAUGCUAAUGUUGAUAUUGUUUACGUCUGGUUGCAUUGUUUUUCAGUUUAAAAUUACAGCUUUAGUACAUUAAGCUAAUUUCAUAAUACUGUAUUAACUUAAUAUUCCAUAAAUCACACAUGUCAGAUCGCAUUGUUACGGAUGCACAGAACCCAAAUUUACUACUCAGGCUCUCCAAACACAUGUAUUCAUAAUUUGCUCCAGCGAGCCCUACGCCGCCAUAUAGGGUUAAGGAAUUACACAUUCCAAUGCCAGGCACAGAUCACGCUGCUCCCUCUCUCUCUCUGCAAUUGUUCUCCAUACAAAUUGAAACAAUAUAUUUCCAGCCAUUUUCAUAGUUGUAAUUACUAGCAAAAAUCGUAAUACCGCGAACAUAUUUUAAACACCUGCACUUUUGGUCCGACGCGUAUAUAUGUUUUUUUUUUUUUUUCUUUCCCUUUUAAGCUGAGUGUUUCCAUUUGAAUGAGGUUGAGAAAGCUCACUCGUGGUGGUGGUGGUAGCAGUCGCUGGGGGACGUUUUGCCUUCUGCGGGGGGGGGACGAUGAUAACUUUUGACUUGGAAGGGAGAGGAGGAGAGAAAAUGGCAGAGGCGCUCAGCCUGCACGCGUUCUCCUCUCUGCUCUCCGUCUGUCUGUCUGUCUGUCUGUCUCUCUCUCUCUCCACCUUGGCAGAAGGGACUUAAUUGCAGCGGGACUGGCUCUUCCGUGCUGCUGCGGGGGGCCCUGUUGCAAGGGGGCAAAGUUCUGUGCCUGAGCCCGGCUCGCGGGUUCCGGGAACAAAGGGAUGCUCUCUGUGGGGGCCGUGGCGGUCGGUGGGCUGGGGCACGGAGGAGCCUCUGUAGGGUUUUAACCACACACUGUCUAAUCGGGCUCUGACAAGUCCAUUGUAAAUCAAAGGUCUGGUAAGUGGGGAUGCCAGAAAUGUUUGAUCUCCUUCCAAGCCUUGAAACAACUUGCUUAUUUUUUCUGCAGUUUGGCUCCUCACUAAAAUAAAACAUUGCGAGAUGAAUGUUCUGACGGGUCAUUGUGUGUCAAGCUGUCACUCUGUAAUGGUUACAUAUUUCAGCUGGAUUGAGGUGGUGCCGGUUGGGGGAGGUCUGUGGGAGAGAGAGAGCGAGAGCGAGAGAGCGAGAGGCAGAGAGAGAGAGAGAGAGAGAGGCAGAGAGAUAGGGUAAGGAAGGAGACAAAGAGUAACAAGAUUUCUGCUUUCUCCUUGUGGCUGAUCUUCAUUUAAACCAAACACUUGUCAUGUUCAGGGGAAGUUUUAUAAAUUUUUAAUGAUAUUGGGUACAACUGGUGCUUUGAAAUUUGCUGUACUUUAAUUUUUUCUUCGUUAGCAAAGGUUCACUAAUGCAUUGAAGUGCUAAGAGCGUAUCCUAGGGAUGCCACGAUAAUUGUGUUGUUAAUAAUAUUGUGGCACUAGUAAUGUUCUCCUGGUAAUCAAGGCAUGAGAUUUUUUUUUAAUAUAUUCAGUUAUUACACUGCAUCUCGUACAAAUCAUGUCAAUUACAAUUGCCAGCCUGUGACAGUUAAAAUAAUUGUAUACGUUUUCUAGAAUUUUCCAUUGGCUUGGCUAAUCAAGCUAAAAAAAAAUCAACACAUUAUUUGCAUUAAUUUUGUUUCUGGUCUAGUCCCACUCCUAAAUCAUUUGUCCAUCUACUUCAAAAGGCAGAACAGUAAGUAUUUUAAUAAUAAAUAUACGCACACAUUCGCACCGACCUAAUUUAAGGAUACUUCUGUAGGUCUGGCAAGACGGAAUCAUCCGGUAGGGAUGUUUUGUGUGACUGGGUUUAUGGCUUCCAGUGGUGUGCACGCGUGCUGAUGCUGGGUUCACGUUGUAUACACUUGGGAUAUGUGGAGUCUACGUUGAUAGAGACGAACCUUGUAGGAACAUUGGCUUUAGCAUUUUCUAUUUCUGUAUUCAGUCCGUAGUUCUGUCUAGGUCAGGGAAAUUACACCAUUUCGGUCUUUCCUUUUUGGCUCCACUGAAAUAGCUCAAUAUCCCUCUGCACCAGGAAAUGAUGUAUGUAAUACUUUGCAGAGCGGCACUGCAAAUUUGCAGCUCAAACACUAGUCUUCCACUUCCAGGAGCUCAGCGUCCUGACCGGCACUGGAGCUUUCUUUAUUUGGAACUAAAAUAGCUAAACACUCAGAAAGUCCCGAACAUGUGAGACCGGCUACACACGGAGUCCCCUGUGGUGUCUCAGCAAACUUCCCCAAGGCCUGGCCUCUCUCUCUCUCUUUCUCUCUCUCUCCAUCCCCGUCACCCAGGGGCCCUCCCUGUCACAGCCAUGAGCGGGGAGGGGUUUUGGUGACACGGAGGAGGCAUUUUUGAAUAUGGACCCCAAAGUGCACAGGAGAAUGGGAGGAGGGUCCGGGAGGCUGGCAGGGGAGCCCUUAGCUGCCUGGACCCCGCAGCCCCACCGCACACGGGGACAGUGUGUCGGGCGGUGGGGGGCAGCGUGACACGUGUGCCUGGGGAAGGCUCACAGAUAGACCCUGAAGACUGAGUCAGCCUGGCCUCUUCCAUCUGUAGAAUAAAAAAAAAAAAAGAGGAUCGGAAAGCAAGCAGGACAGUAACCAUAUCACAAGGGGCCCUCCAGCAAGGAGGAAUGCAGCCCUUUCGAAAUAACAGCAGCCAGAAGGAUCCGAGGAACGACAGGUGGACAGACACGACCAUUUCAGCAAUUUUCGGGCACCUCGGCAGUAUUAUUUGGAGAACGCUAAAUAAGUCCCCCA
Molecule: long non-coding RNA, 5235 nt
Filed under: Canis lupus familiaris (dog)
Lineage: Eukaryota; Metazoa; Chordata; Mammalia; Carnivora; Canidae
Description: lncRNA (ENSCAFG00040004081.1)
Source: RNAcentral